Non-coding RNA from Camellia sinensis, 616 nucleotides. The record is from RefSeq and is a predicted model, not a curated record. NCBI's taxonomy places the organism in Eukaryota, Viridiplantae, Streptophyta, Magnoliopsida, Ericales, Theaceae.
CAAUGAAAUAACAUGAUUUUUUUUGGGGUCUUUGCCAGAAUUUGGAUUCCAAAAUUCACCACAACAACCUCCUCAACAACAUACUAGCGAAGAUAGAAGCGAAUAAUGCAAAUGCUGAUGAUGCCAUAAUGCUUGAUAAGGAAGGUUAUGUGUCUGAAACAAAUGCUACAAACAUUUUCUUAGUGAAGAGAGGCCAUGUUGCGACACCUCAUGUUGAUAGCUGUCUUCCUGGCGUAACUCGAGCAACUGUAAGUUUCUUGAACUCCCCUCCUUAAAAUGCACUUUUGUUCUGCGUGAUGAUUAAAAAGCUUCUUUGUUUCCAUCUUUGUGUUUUCUUGCCAUGAGUGUUGACCUUCUGUUAGAGAGUUGAAAUCCUCCAGCAGUACAAUUUUGGGUGCCUCUUUGAACUGAAUGCAUGUCAGUUAGCCUUUUAACUCUUCAUGAGCUAAUCCCAUUGAAAAGAUUUCAAUAUCAAGUUUGUGUCUAUUUGGAGCCAAACCAAACGCAUUCUAAGUUCAAACCCUUUUCCAUGUAUAAAUCCAAAUAUGUGUUCUUCCAUCGUAUGAAACGAGAUACGAGUUGUGCAUAGAAGUAUCAUCUUCUCCGUUCUUUUGUU